This 252-nucleotide ribosomal RNA is filed under the name uncultured bacterium. RNAcentral's name for it is "partial 16S ribosomal RNA". It matches the Rfam family "Bacterial small subunit ribosomal RNA", at positions 524 to 775 of the family's 1533-position model. The record is from RNAcentral.
UACGUAGGGUGCGAGCGUUAAUCGGAAUUACUGGGCGUAAAGCGUGCGCAGGCGGUUCGCUGUGUCCGAUGUGAAAGCCCCGGGCUUAACCUGGGAAUGGCAUUGGAAACUGGCGGGCUUGAGUGCGGCAGAGGGGGGUGGAAUUCCGCGUGUAGCAGUGAAAUGCGUAGAGAUGCGGAGGAACACCGAUGGCGAAGGCAGCCCCCUGGGCUGACACUGACGCUCAUGCACGAAAGCGUGGGGAGCAACAGG